This 439-nucleotide ribosomal RNA is filed under the name Pseudoxanthomonas sp. CA-23. RNAcentral's name for it is "bacterial SSU rRNA". It matches the Rfam family "Bacterial small subunit ribosomal RNA", at positions 54 to 485 of the family's 1533-position model. Lineage: Bacteria; Pseudomonadati; Pseudomonadota; Gammaproteobacteria; Lysobacterales; Lysobacteraceae. The record is from RNAcentral.
AAUGMAGYCGACGCAGCGGUAGGAGUUGCUCCUAUGCGGCGAGUGGCGGACGGGUGAGGAACACAUCGGAAUCUACUCCGUCGUGGGGGGAUAACGUAGGGAAACUUACGCUAAUACCGCAUACGACCUAAGGGUGAAAGUSGGGGGACCGCAAGGCCCUCACGCGAUGGAAUGAGCCGAUGUCCGAUUAGCUAGUUGGCGGGGUAAAGGCCCACCAAGGCGACGAUCGGUAGCUGGUCUGAGAGGAUGAUCAGCCACACUGGGACUGAGACACGGGCCAGACUCCUACGGGAGGCAGCAGUUGGGGAAUAUUGGACAAUGGGCGAAAGCUKAUUCAGCCAUGCCGSGUGGGUUAAGAAGGCCUUCGGGUUGUAAAGCCUUUUGUUGGGGAAGARAAUCCUGCUGGCUAAUACCCGGCGGGGAUGACGGUACCCAAAGG